CUCAACCAAGUUUAUAGGUAUCCCAACCAUGGUCCAUGGAUAUGUGGCCCAAAAAAGAAAAAAUUAUUGUCCAUGGAUGAAUAAUAAUGUGAGUGACCUGCCCUGCAAACAAUAUUACCGAACUUCCUGCCUUCAUUAGUUCCCAAAAUUGCAGAUAAUCUGCCACUCCAGAUCCAUUAAACACGUUCAAAGAAACUGAUAGACGUCGAUCCACGUAAAAUUAGUAAAGCAGUAAAGAUCAAAAAUCAAAUGGAGACAUGUACCAGAUAUGAUGUAUCUGCAAAAUUCUGUUUUGUCUUUGGAUGUCUUGUCAGUUGCUGUGUCCACCAUGUUUUUUCUCUUUCUAUAACAGUAGCGGAGUUCGAAUGUGUGUCCGAGCUCGUUGUCUCUGAAGGGGAUACAAUUUCUGGGAACUUUGUCGUCACGGAUCAUGAGAUUUUCUGGAACUCUGAGCAUCCUGGAAUCGAAUUCACCGUGAGCUCUACUUGCAUUGUCUGCAUUCUUUUUUUCUUUUUCUCUUCCAAAUUACAUUUAGGGUGAUUAUGGUUUGGCACGCCGGAUUUGCUCGAAAUACACUUGAAAAAUGGAAACCAUGAUUAAGAGAUGCAGAGAAUAUUGUCAAAUACGUCAGGAUAUAACGCAAUCCGAGUCCCAUAAUAGUUUGAUUCUGAAACAACAAAACCUUUAGCCUAGCCCAAUUGGGAAGUUUAUCUCAUUCUUCCCUCCAUUAAGGUAAAGGACAAAUGUGAGCCCUGCAUCUGCAAAAACCGAAGAACUUUCUCUUUUAAAAUAAUUCUGAGGGCUUUUGAGGCAGGUGACUUCUCCAGGAGGUAAGCUUGUGUACUUUCUGAAAGGAACAUCGGGGGAUAAGUUCGAGUUCAAAGCCCCAAGACGCGGAAUUUACAAAUUUUGUUUUCAUAAUCCUCUUACCACUCCAGAAACCGUCGCCUUCUACCUUCAUGUUGGCCACAUCCCGGAAACAAAUGACGUCGCCAUAAAUGAACAUUUUCAUCCUACACAUGUUAAGAUUGCUGAACUGAGAGAGGUGUUGGAGUCUGUUACAGCCGAGCAGAAGUAUUUGAAAGCACGCGAUGCUCGCCAUCGAUACAGCGUCUCGUUAGAUUUCAAUAGUUUAUUACUUUUGGGACAAAAAAAGAACGACCUUACCUUUGAUUGUUGGUGACUGCAGCAAGUGAGAGCACCAGGAAACGUGUAGUCUUCUACACUCUUGUCGAAUACUUUGCUUUGGCUGCUUCAAGCGUGCUUCAGAUUGUGUACAUUCGCCGUUUGUUCAGCUCCUCCCCUGCUUACAACAGAGUCUAACUUUUUUUUUUUUUUUAUUUCAACAUUUUAUUGUAUAAUUUCUUCUGAUGGCUCUGCUAUCAUCACUGAACUCCUUAAGCGCUUGUUGAAUUAAUGAAUUCGGUGGUUCAAGUCGGAAACUGUCUGCCAUAAACCCAUCACUGAAAAUUUUACACUCUUAGCCAAGAAAAUGAGAUUAUUAUUCGUUAAGGGAGUAUAAUUCUAGUUCAACUACCUCGAGAUCACCCAAUAUUGUCACGAAGAAAAAGAAAGUGGGAUGAUUA
This is a non-coding RNA of Theobroma cacao (cacao), 1586 nucleotides long. NCBI's taxonomy places the organism in Eukaryota, Viridiplantae, Streptophyta, Magnoliopsida, Malvales, Malvaceae. The record is from RefSeq and is a predicted model, not a curated record.